This 1369-nucleotide long non-coding RNA is filed under the name Gopherus agassizii (Agassiz's desert tortoise). RNAcentral's name for it is "lncRNA (ENSGAGG00000002159.1)". Lineage: Eukaryota; Metazoa; Chordata; Testudines; Testudinidae. The record is from RNAcentral.
GAAAAAAAUAACCUAUAAGACUCUGUGUAUACGCUUCCCAGCCAGAGCCGUCUGGAGUCUCCCACCAUGACAGUUUAUUUGUAAAUGUCAUGGGAAAGCCAGGGCAUGGGAGAUGGGCCAUAAACAGACACUGAAAUGACUCUCCCCAGCCAGUGGCUUUUGGUUCAGCAGACAGAGUGAGAGAUGAGCUGCCAAGCACAACGUUUUCUGAUGCACUGUCUCUUGCCUGUUCCAGCCGCCUGGCACUGAGUCCCUUGGAUGGGAACAUGGAUUUGAGCAGCCACUUGGAGUCGACACUGCCAGGAGCCCAGCCUCCUUUCUCCUCGGCUCACCUCCCGCUCAGGUGCACCAGAGGGCUUGUCUUCUCUCCCGUCUCUGAAGAGCAGCUGCAGAAGGAGGCUGCCGAGGCCUUGAUGGUGCUGAGAAAUUCCACCCAGCUGGCCCCCUCUGCUGCCAUGCCAGACUUUCUGCCCCUCACUGGCUCUGCACCCCCCUUGCUGGCCUUUCCUGCUUUCACCCCUUACCCUGGAGACCCUGGUAACAUGGGGGCAUCUGAUCCCACCCAGCAGCAGGUCCUGAAGGCCCCUGGGGACAAGGCUUUGCCAGCAGAGCGGGCUGGCGCUGGUGGGCAGCAGGGCUUAGGAUGUGUGCUCCCCGGUUUGCUGCACUGCAGCACUCUUCCUCAGCCAUGCAAGAACUUCCGCCUGGUCUCGACAGCACCACAGGGAGCCACAACCCUGAUGGUUUCCAACAUCCAGGUCUUCAAACCUGGUUCCAGCCCCCGGGAGAUUCCUAACUAUGAUGCCCCCCAUCCUGCCCCUUCUGACUCCAUGGGCUCCACUGCACAGACCCUCUGCGAGGCACAGGCUGCGGAUCCUGGUGGGAUUCCAGAGACAGCUGCGUCCGCCCCGGAUCCACCUUGCACUGCCUCUGCUCUCAGCAGUCCUCGGUCCCUGCCCUUGUGUGCCCCUCCUGCAGAAAUGCCCAUCUCCAUGCUGCCCACGCAAAGCCCCCCUGUCAUGGUGGAAGUGCACACGCUCCCCAGGCUGUCCUUACUGACUCCCAGCCCAAACCUCAUUACCCACCAGCCCCUCCCAGACACUGUGCUUGCCCCAAGGUUCAAGUGUCAGCAGGGCCCUGCGAGCCAGGGGAGCGGCAGUGGCAGCAAGGGGCAGGUGGCAGAGGAAAGCAGCAGAAGCAGGGCACCUGGGACCUGGGGCCUGGCAGGUACAGUGUGAGCCACUCGGCUGCUCCCAUCACUGAGGGCAUAUGUCCGAUUACUGACCCUUCCCGCCAGGGGUCUGGCCUGCUCAGGCACAGAGACCAAGCACACUCAGCUCCCACUCAGGCCACUGAACGGCUGUACGAU